UUGUAUUGAGUUACUUGUACAGGAAGACAGGAACAGAAGAAAAUGUCCACAAGGAUUAUGGAAAUACUGGUGGUGUUAUGUACCUAUACUGAUAUAGUGUGAUAACAGAAAUGAAUUCAGGAGAAAGGAAAAGUGAUGUAUCUCUUAUUAGAAAAUGAGAGUAUUUCUCUUACAUACAAAAGAAUCUUACAUUGCUAUUUAUAGACCUACACUGCUUACAAGUAAAGCUAUCAUUUAACUAUAGGUCGCUUAACUAUAUUUUAAUUAUUGACUCUAGUUCUAACUGACUAACUGACACAUUUAUCACAUGCUUAUUUGACAUGUCACUGUCAAGUCCAAAUGGUGC
RNAcentral lists this long non-coding RNA (346 nucleotides) under Panax ginseng (ginseng). Its description in RNAcentral is "long non-coding RNA (PGIN_LNC017415)". The record is from RNAcentral. Lineage: Eukaryota; Viridiplantae; Streptophyta; Magnoliopsida; Apiales; Araliaceae.